GCGGUAUCCUAACCGUGCAAGGUAGCGUAAUCACUUGUUUUCUAAAUAAAGACCUGUAUGAAAGGCACCACGAGAGCUAAGCUGUCUCCUUUUUCCAAUCAGUGAACCUAAUCUCCCCGUGAAAAAGCAGGGAUUAAAAUAUAAGACGAAAAGACCCUGUGGAGCUUAAAACAUUGAUUUUAUGUUUCGGUUGGGGUGACCGCGGAGAAAAACUUAUCCUCCACAAUGAAAAAAAAUACAAUUUUGAGCAUCAAUUGAUCAAUGAACCAAGUUACCCCAGGGAUAACAGCACCAUCCGCUUUAAGAGCCCCUAUCGACAAGCGGGCUUAUGACCUCGAUGUUGGAUCGGGGUAUCCUAGUGGUGCAGCCGCUACUAAAGGUUCGUUUG
This 388-nucleotide ribosomal RNA is filed under the name Pristimantis sp. n EAO-2019. RNAcentral's name for it is "partial large subunit ribosomal RNA". It matches the Rfam family "Bacterial large subunit ribosomal RNA", at positions 1933 to 2579 of the family's 2925-position model. The record is from RNAcentral. Lineage: Eukaryota; Metazoa; Chordata; Amphibia; Anura; Strabomantidae.